GAACGAGACCUUUUCUCGUUGUCACCUGUACCAGACCAGUGCCAUUUUUUCGGAUUUGUGUCGAGUCUUUGAGGGCUACAUACAGCGCGCAACGCAUAAGACCAUCAGAUCCACUGGGAGGAGCAGUUCCUGGAGUAGCUAAGCUCUUGGUGGAACUGAGCAAGUUAAGAGUGCGGCUUUUGGACUUUGGACUGCCCGGAGGGUCGCUGGUUCUGUUCCUUCCAAGCACAAUGGAUACGCACAACGGAUAUGGGUGGUGGUGACGGAGAUGCACCCCCCCCCCCCCCCCUCCAACCUCUGCAACCUCUGCAACCCCUGCAACCCCAGCUCCCUGGGCUACACACUAGGGAAGCCCCCUGCCCCAGUGUCUCGAGUGCAUGUGCAUGCUUGUGUGUGUUUCGUUCACUUGGUGUGGGUAAAAUGCAGAGAGUAAUUUACCCAGCUUUAUUUUUUAAUAAAGGAAAAACUUAACUUAUUAAAAUUGAUUACAGAAACCUAGUUGUUUGUAUAUGGCAGCUGUUAUACAGUAAUAAACGUUGGAAAC
Molecule: long non-coding RNA, 544 nt
Organism: Toxotes jaculatrix (banded archerfish)
Lineage: Eukaryota; Metazoa; Chordata; Actinopteri; Toxotidae
Exons: 3
Source: RefSeq, a predicted model, not a curated record